CGGGGAUCGGGGAUCCCGCCCACGGAACAGAACAGAAGAGAAGAGAGCGCGGCCGCGCCGGAGUACGCACAACCUGUCACACGGAGCGGCCCAGUGCAGUAACCUGCUCGAAGAAGGAACUGGUUGCAAGAUUAGUUGUGACGGAUAUGGUGUUGGCAGGUGGUCGUGUGGUCAUGUGUUACACUUUCCAGCCGUUUGCAUUACCAGCGCAGCAGCGCUGUGCACUCCUGAAGCAUCGACUGCACACCGACCAGCGCAACGCCGCUAAACAGCAUCAAGAAGACGUGGACCUGCAGGCCAGUGGAAAGAGCGUGCGUCACCACACCUCCAGAAAGACAGAGUUCAGCGCCCGCUGUCGGUGCUGACUUACCCACCUACCCAUUGCUGGUCAGCUCAGCUCGCUUGCGGAUUUCGAGAACAUCAGUACUGAGUAAUGGAAAGACGUUUCUUAUCCUACAUUCUGUGUGUAGUAAUAGGGAAUAAAGUA
Schistocerca gregaria is the source of this 487-nucleotide long non-coding RNA. RefSeq lists it as uncharacterized. The transcript has 3 exons. NCBI's taxonomy places the organism in Eukaryota, Metazoa, Arthropoda, Insecta, Orthoptera, Acrididae. The record is from RefSeq and is a predicted model, not a curated record.